CAAUCAGGUGGGAUUACCCGCUGAACUUAAGCAUAUCAAUAAGCGGAGGAAAAGAAACUAACAAGGAUUCCCCUAGUAACGGCGAGUGAAGAGGGAAAAGCCCAAAUUUGUAAUCUGGCUCUUUUAGAGUCCGAGUUGUAAUUUUGAGAACUGUUUUCAGUGCUGGACCAUGUUUAAGUCUGUUGAAAAACAGCAUCAUUGAGGGUGAUAAUCCCGUUCAUGAUAUGGACUACCAGUACUUUAUGAUACAGUCUCUAAGAGUCGAGUUGUUUGGGAAUGCAGCUCAAAGUGGGUGGUAAAUUCCAUCUAAGGCUAAAUAUAGGUGAGAGACCGAUAGCAAACAAGUACCGUGAGGGAAAGAUGAAAAGAACUUUGGAAAGAGAGUUAACAGUACGUGAAAUUGCUGAAAGGGAAACAAUUGAAGUUAGCCUUGUUAUUGUCAGUUCAGCUCUUUUAGAGUGUAUUCUGAUGAUUAACGACCAACAUCAGUCUUUGAGUGCUGGAUAAGGGUUUUGGAAAUGUAGCAGUCUCGGCUGUGUUAUAGUCCAUUACUUUGAUACAGUGCUUGGGAUUGAGGAUCGCAGUAAGCCAUUUUAUGGUGGACCAAAUUUUUGGUCUUCUUACUGAGGAUGUUGGUGAAAUAGCUUAAAAUGACC
This 656-nucleotide ribosomal RNA is filed under the name Neophysopella vitis. RNAcentral describes it as "partial large subunit ribosomal RNA". It matches the Rfam family "Eukaryotic large subunit ribosomal RNA", at positions 1 to 649 of the family's 3401-position model. The record is from RNAcentral. Lineage: Eukaryota; Fungi; Basidiomycota; Pucciniomycetes; Pucciniales; Crossopsoraceae.